Molecule: ribosomal RNA, 490 nt
Filed under: uncultured bacterium
Lineage: Bacteria
Description: partial 16S ribosomal RNA
Rfam family: Bacterial small subunit ribosomal RNA
Source: RNAcentral
AGUGAACGCUGGCGGCAGGCCUAACACAUGCAAGUCGAACGGCAGCACAAGAGAGCUUGCUCUCUGGGUGGCGAGUGGCGGACGGGUGAGGAAUGCAUCGGAAUCUGCCCAUUUGUGGGGGAUAACCUCGGGAAACCGGGACUAAUACCGCAUACGACCUACGGGUGAAAGCAGGGGAUCUUCGGACCUUGCGCAGCUGGAUGAGCCGCUGCCGGAUUAGCUAGUUGGAGGGGUAAAGGCCCACCAAGGCGACGAUCCGUAGCUGGUCUGAGAGGAUGAUCAGCCACACUGGGACUGAGACACGGCCCAGACUCCUACGGGAGGCAGCAGUGGGGAAUAUUGGACAAUGGGCGCAAGCCUGAUCCAGCCAUGCCGCGUGUGUGAAGAAGGCCUUCGGGUUGUAAAGCACUUUUGUUGGGAAAGAAAAGCAGCCGGUUAAUACCCGGUUGUCAUGACGGUACCCAAAGAAUAAGCACCGGCUAACUUCGUG